This 801-nucleotide long non-coding RNA is filed under the name Heterocephalus glaber (naked mole-rat). RNAcentral's name for it is "lncRNA (ENSHGLG00000043288.1)". The record is from RNAcentral. Lineage: Eukaryota; Metazoa; Chordata; Mammalia; Rodentia; Bathyergidae.
CUCUAUCCUGGUCCGGACGCUUGGAGGACCUUGGGGUUUCUUGGGGAACCUCGGACUCGUUAGCAGACCUUCAUGUGGCCGGCCUUUGCCUCCUGAGGUGCUUAUGGCUAGGAAAUGAAGGACGGUGACUCAUUUUACAGAGCAUCCUAUAGCUCUUUGGGGAACCUGAUGAGAAGUUUCAGAACCACCCAGGCUGCUAGAGGCUCCCCGGAUUCUGUGGCUUAUUGUCUCCUGCUUCACCUCUGAACUGUAUUUCUGUUUUCAUCACAUUUCCUCUCCAGUGCCCCUCUCUGCCACCAUUAUGAACCCUUGUGAGCGCAUUGGGCCUACCUGGAUAUUUCAGGCACCUCUGCUAUUAGGGUCAGCUGAUUAGCACUGUGUUUUGUGUUUGGUUUCUUGUUUUGUUCUGAGGGAGGAUCUCACUAUGUAGUUAAGGCUGUUGGCCUUGAAGUCACUAUGUAGCUCAGGCUGGCCUUGAACUCAUGGCGAUUCUCCUGCCUCAGCCUUCCAAGUGCUGGGAUUACAGGCAUGUGCCACCACACCUGCAAAGCACUGUUAUUUGCAGCCUCGGUUCCCCUUUCCAUGCUGCAGAAAUAUUCACAGUUGCAGGGAUUAGAGAGUGAACACUGUGAUGGGAGGUGUCAUUCUGCCUACACACAUGGACGGGAGCUAGGGAUGCUACAAAACAUUCUGAAGUGCCAGGAAAGACCCUGUGAUAGUUAAUCAUGGACUCAACUUGAAUAAGAAAUGUCUUGCAGAUUAGUUUAAUACAGUUCUGGAUGAUUGACUUACUGAAGGGGG